GAUAGGCCCACACGCAUAGCCUUCUCAUUCUCACUCUUCAUACAAUCGGAUGCAUGACCUUGCUAAUAGUUGUUUGAUUUGUGGUGUUACAGAUCCCUCCUCAACCGGCCAGGACAGCUCGACAUGAGAAGCACCUUGUGAUCUAAACUUUGUCUGUAUUACGGUACAGCAUCUCUGUCUAUUGUGGUCAGGGUGCCAAAGGGAGAGCUAGGAGGCUCCUCUUAUCUCUAGUCUGUCGAUGCCCUUCCUGGAGAAGGCAGGCAGAUUGUACAGAGCAAGGCUGAGCUGAGGGAGAGGCACCUGGAGGAGUGGAGAGGCAUUGAAAGAACAGUAGAUUGGGAAACCCAUAUUAGACAGACCUGACUCUUCCCAGAAAAGACUGACCUUUAUACCCCCGAGCAUGGGGGCGUCUUAUUCAAAGAAAAAGGCGUACAACAUUAACCAGCAGCAGCAGUGUGUGAAAAACAGACAGCACCGGAAUGGCACAGGUGAACUGGCAACCGCUCUCUCAACUUGACCAGCGAUGCAAUGCAACAGCAGCAAGUGCCAGUCAGCAUAGCCUGUUAAAACAGUUCAACGGGUUCAGGGAAGCUGGGAGACCCAUGGACCCGAAGAGGACUAAACGGAUAAUUGUUGAC
Esox lucius (northern pike) is the source of this 638-nucleotide long non-coding RNA. RefSeq lists it as uncharacterized. The record is from RefSeq and is a predicted model, not a curated record. The transcript is spliced from 3 exons. NCBI's taxonomy places the organism in Eukaryota, Metazoa, Chordata, Actinopteri, Esociformes, Esocidae.